RNAcentral lists this long non-coding RNA (264 nucleotides) under Elaeis guineensis (African oil palm). RNAcentral describes it as "long non-coding RNA (EGUI_LNC031112)". The record is from RNAcentral. Lineage: Eukaryota; Viridiplantae; Streptophyta; Magnoliopsida; Arecales; Arecaceae.
CUGGCCUUAGUUUCUAUAUAGAGUCUGAUCUUUCUGAUGGAGAAUCGAUAUCAAUUGAUGAUUUCAGAGAUCAGACUGCUGUGGUGCAUCAUUUGCCACAGAUUAAGAAUAGCAUUCAAGAAGUUAUGUUUUUCUGUUAAUGAUAUUAUAAGAUUUUUGUUGUCAUAAGAGAUUAUUGGUCAAAUUUUUUUGAGAUGGUUUAGAAGUAAAUGACAUAAUUUAGUCCAUCGAAUAGUUAAUAAAUUUUUAUUCUUUAUAGUUAGA